This 3244-nucleotide long non-coding RNA is filed under the name Homo sapiens (human). RNAcentral's name for it is "HSALNT0041076". Lineage: Eukaryota; Metazoa; Chordata; Mammalia; Primates; Hominidae. The record is from RNAcentral.
CUCGCAUAUCAGAAAUAUACAAAACAAGUGUUGUACAUUACAGAUGAGGUUAUCCGGAAUUCAGGAUCUGGCACUCAGCAGUGGUCAAUAAAAUUAAUAAAAUUCAUAACCCUGAAGGUUCACUUUGUUGUUCAUCCCAAUCUGUCCUCAGGAAAAUACUCUCCACAUCUCUUGUCCAAAGUCCUUACAAAAAAAAGAAAAAAAAAAAAAAAAAAGACAAGACACUUGCAUCCACAUUCCAUGAAGAUGUAAGAGUUGUACUCCUGCUGAUACCAGAGGGAGACAAUGCUUCAGAGAGCAUGGGACAUUUAAGCAGUGGAAGCACUUGUCCUUUCAGCCCUGUCUGGAAACUGGAAGACGAGUGAAGGAGACGGACACCAUUCUGGAAAAUAGUAUAUAGAGCCGGAUCUAUGAAAAACGAGUUCUUUUGUCAAUACUUCGUCUUCAAAAAGUUAUUGAUCUUCUUUUAAAAAAAAUUUGAUUAUACUCUCUGAGAAUCAUUGUUUGCCCUUGAGAGAUGCUGUUAUGUUCAAAAAUUAACCUAGAGAUUCUAAAAGUUAGCAAAAGCAAAGGAGGACCAUAUUCUAGACUAAAGCAGCCAUUCAGAAAUAUGCAACUGAGAAUUACUGUGUGCUGUGGAUCACCCAGGUUUGGAGGUAACUCAAUUCUUUUGGUAUCAAUUCCUUGAAAGGAAUUAAAAGUAAAAACUCCAGAAGGAAAACAAGGUCAGGGACAGGGAGUGGCUAAUAAGAGAACUACUGAGUCAGGUUUCUGGCUUAUCAGUGAGUCAGGUUUAAUAAAAGGAUUAUUUUUAAGGUGGUGAGUAGGGACUAAGGAGAAAACAACAACAACACUAAGCACAUUUAUCUAAGAUUAACAAAAGCAAGCAGGCAUUACCACCAUAGGUUCAAGGGGCAAGUGGUAGGAAUGAUUAGGGUACUCUGAGAUUGUCACUCAGUGGAGAGAGCCAGCAAAUAGCAUCAGUGUACUUUGCGAGAGGGUUGACCUGCAUUGGGAUCCAGUGAAAUAAAUAUCCCCACCUCACUUUCCUUCCACUUUUCCAACAUAUCUCAUUGUCUCCCAUUGGCUGAACUGAACCAGAAGUCAAAGGGCAAAGGAUCUUGUAGAGACAGAGUCCUCACAACUCAGCCUCCCAGAGCAAAAAGCAGAGUAGGAUGUAGAAAGGUAGAGAAUGAACCUGGAAGGGCAGAAAAUGUGUAACAAAGCAACUACGUGUGUGUGUGUGUGUUUGUGUGUAUGUGUGUGAGUGUGAGAGAGAGAGAAAGAGAAAGAUGAAGCAGUAGGUUUCCUUUUAUCUUUGAGUCUUUAACACAAAGUUUUCAACAUUGUCAUUUCCUGUAGCUUCUCCUAAUUGUUCAAUACAGCAUUUUUCUUUUCUUCUACUAUUGGCCAAAAUGAAAGGGGGCUUCAGUAUAAAAAGGAUAAUUUUAUCUAAAUGAUGAGUCUGCCGAGGCACACAUAGCAGGGACCACCAUGAAUCAAGGAAGGCUAUGAAACCUGGAAUUCCAGAUGGUAACCCACCACAGGGCAAAAAUAAGUGAAGAUGGAGAUAUAUUAACAGCAAGGAGAAACAGUGCAGAUUUGAAAGCAGUUUAGCAUAGGUGAGGGUGAGGGUGGAUAUGAGUCAACCCUCCUUCCCUUUUAAUUUUGUUCAAAAUAUAAAGAAAAGGUGGCCGGGUGUGGUGGCUCACACCUGUAAUCCCAGCAUUUUGGGAGGCCGAGGUAGGCAGAUCACAAGGUCAGGAGAUCAAGAUCAUCCUGGCCAACAUGGUAAAACCCCAUCUCUACUAAAAAUACAAAAAUUAGCCGAGUGUGGUGGUGUGUGCCUGUAAUCCCAGCUAUUUGGGAGGCUGAGGCAGGAGAAUCACUUGAACCAGGGAGUCGGAGGUUGCAGUGAGCCAAGAUCACACCACUGCACUCCAGCUUGGCGACAGAGCGAGACUCCGUCUGAAAAAAAAAAAAAAAAGUGACACAAGACACAAUUUAUGAAUAUUUUAUUAUAAAACAUUAUUUUGAAAACAUCUGUAAUCAUCAACUAGUAAAAUAGUCCCGUGUUCUUAUUUGUAUAGGUGAUUGAAAAGAGAUUCUGAAAUUAUUUUGACCUUUAAUUGCUUAGAGCAAUUCACCAAGAACAUUUUGCAACUUUCAACCUUUCUACAGAAACACUCCCUUGAAUGAGAGAGAAUAUUUUGCAAAUUGACUACCAGGAUGAUUUCCCACUAUCAUUCAGAAUGGAUUUGCGCCAACUCAUUCAGCCAUUAGCUUUGUGAUACAAAUUGAUUUUAAUAAUGCAUUUCAAAUACAAAUAGAAAUGAUUAUUAUGUGGGCAUAUAUUUUGAACUAUCUGUUCUUCAUUGUUAAGGCAGAUAAGUGAAAAUUUGUCCCAUUUCUAAUUUCUACUAUUUAGUAAUUAGAUCCCUUUGACUUUUUGGUGCCAGUUAGAAAGUAAUUAAUAGAAAAGGCUAACUCUUUUUCUUAGAAGCAAAGAAUAGUAAAUACAUUCUAAGAAAACUAUAUCGUGUGUAGAAAGUUGUGAGUUUGUCAGGAAGAGGUAAUUUAAUUCCUACAUAAUGAAAAGUAAUAUAAAAAUAAGCAGAAGCAUCUUUUAGAAAAAUAUUUGAAUUUCUGUGAAUAUUAAAGGGAUAUACACAUAUUUCUAAAAGAGUUUUGUUUUUUUCAUCUUUCUGUGUAUUCGCACUAAAUCUAUUGUAGUCCUGGUAGUCUGAAUAAUUGCGUCCCAAUUUAUUGUUUUUUACUACUAAAAGUCAAUGUUAGCUAUAUAAUUUCUAUAUAUCACAUAUAUUUUUUAAAAAUUUGUAACUUUUAUGCUUUUAAUCAUUGGUUUUUAUGUAUUACUUGGUUAAUAUAUAUUAUAAACAAAGUAUUAUACAUUACUUGGUUUAUAGAAAUUUGAGUGGGAGCUCUAAGAAAAUAUGACAAUUCUGGACACUAGAUAUCCCAGAUUUAUAUUCUAGCCUUCUAAAGUAUGAGAUUAUGACUCAAAUUUCAUGGAAUCUUCACUAACAUGGUAUAUGGACAAUGUUAAUGUAAUCACACUAUAAUUUUAAGGAUAAGCCUAACACUUUAAUAUGACCAUUAGUGUAGCCCAAACAGAAAAUGUUUAGUAAAUUUUUUUUGGUAAUUGUUCACCAUAUAUCAUCAAUGCUCAAAAUUUUAUUUGAAUUCAUUUAUAUUAAAAAUAAAGAGAAAUUGGUACAUAUUA